Peromyscus californicus insignis is the source of this 1523-nucleotide long non-coding RNA. RefSeq lists it as uncharacterized. NCBI's taxonomy places the organism in Eukaryota, Metazoa, Chordata, Mammalia, Rodentia, Cricetidae. The transcript is spliced from 6 exons. The record is from RefSeq and is a predicted model, not a curated record.
GAUCCACAACCAGCCGACCGCCCGGCGCCUUACAGCCCCAGCACCCGCGCAGGAACCAAGUUGCUACCGGGUUCUUUGCCCGGGUGGCAACGUUUCCUUCCGGACCCUUCCGGAGCCCAGCAGUCAAAACAAAGCACUGAAUUGAAUCCUGCUGGUUGCUGGAAUUUAGCAGUAGUGGAAGCCAGUUGGUGGCAGCAGAAGAGGCCAGAUAGGAGACAGAAUGGCAAAGAAGAAAGCUGGGAUUAAAAAAGAUCAAGUGGACUUAGAAAGAGAACCCAGGAUGGUGAAAUGGCUUUAGUGGUAAAGGAUCUUGCUUCCAAGCCCAAGGACCCGAGUUUAAGCCUGAGAACCUAUGUGAAGACUGAGUCUCAUGACCCACAUGGAGGCGUGGAUCUCCAUGAUUAAAGUGCUGGCAUCUGGAAAAAUCAAAAGUCGAAACAGCACCACUGACAACUGUGACAGUGACACUUUCCUGAGCUCCCUUCCUGGGUCCUCCUUUAGAUAUGGAUCCUUCAUUGACUGCAAGUGACCCUGAAGCAUGCGAUGGAUUCACUGAAACAUCAUGGAUUCCUCUUUGUCUCCUCCAGCCCCGGGCCAUCAAGGACACUGUGGAAGUCACCAGAAAGAUAGCAAACCUCCCUCCAGCUAAACGGCAAAAGGAGAUAUCAAUCAUAUCACCAGAAGUCAAGUCUGCCCACCUGGGGCCAAGUUACAGCUCUAUGCACCAAGGGAGAAGUUAUUUUACUAAUGACUCUGUGUUUCUGACUGGACCUUGAGACCAUAAAAGAUUCAUUCAUCCAUCUGAAGAAGGGACUGCAUUUAAUUUUUCCUUGGUAUUUGAAUCACUUCCCAUUUGCAUAGGCCAUCAUAACACUUGUAUUCCUAUUAAAGACAAAUAUGGGCUUAUGUUCUUUCUACAAGAUACUAGAACUACUAAUCAUUUGGGUCUCUUUUCAAGCUAGUCUCUAGAUUUUUCUGAUUAAUAUAAUGUAACUAAUAGUACAGGACAUAGUUUGUAUCUCUAUGCUUGGUGCUUCUUGGUGGCAGAGUAUUACACACAAUGCUUUCACUGUUCUAAUAUAAUUUGCUUGCUUAUAGGAUACUCAUCAAAUGACAACUAGAUUUAUCUAUAACAUCUCAAAUCAAAACCACUUUGCAUAUCCUGCAAUCAAAAACUAAAAAGGGGUGAGAUAGAUGUCGCAACAUGAUCCAAGAAUGGAGUCAUGUGAGGGGAAUUCCGAGUGCUUGUGAGAAAACUCCAAGAAAACAAGAGUCUGUGACUCUAGUGCCUUCAAAAAACAGAAUUGUUCUUGGAAUGUGUUUUUGUGUUCCUCCCAUGUGUAGCUGAUAGGAGUGAGUUUACUUCAGGUGUUGUUAUUCAUAUGCCUCUAUGAGAAAAUAUGUUGUUUUUUUUGCCAUGUGUGGCUUGUCCUUGUGGUUGUAUACUUUACUCGGGUGAUUCUUCCUAACUCUCAGAGUAUAAAUUAUCUGAUGUGCUGAAUAAAGUUGACUAUUGCAUGCGA